GUGGUCGCUUCGGCAGCACAUAAACUAAAAUUGGAAUGACACAGAGAAAACUAGCAUUGGCCCCUGUGCACAGAUAACACGCAAAUUCAUGAAACAUCUGGAAUUUUU
This is a small nuclear RNA of Microtus ochrogaster (prairie vole), 108 nucleotides long. Lineage: Eukaryota; Metazoa; Chordata; Mammalia; Rodentia; Cricetidae. The record is from Ensembl.